Molecule: ribosomal RNA, 379 nt
Filed under: uncultured bacterium
Lineage: Bacteria
Description: bacterial SSU rRNA
Rfam family: Bacterial small subunit ribosomal RNA
Source: RNAcentral
AUUAAACGCUGGCGGCAUGCCUUACACAUGCAAGUCGAACGGCAGCACGGGGGCAACCCUGGUGGCGAGUGGCGAACGGGUGAGUAAAGCAUCGGAACGUGCCCUGGAGUGGGGGGAUAACGUAGCGAAAGUUACGCUAAUACCGCAUAUUCUGUGAGCAGGAAAGCAGGGGAUCGCAAGACCUUGCGCUCUGGGAGCGGCCGAUGUCGGAUUAGCUAGUUGGUGGGGUAAAGGCCUACCAAGGCGACGAUCCGUAGCGGGUCUGAGAGGAUGAUCCGCCACACUGGGACUGAGACACGGCCCAGACUCCUACGGGAGGCAGCAGUGGGGAAUUUUGGGACAAUGGGCGAAAGCCUGAUCCAGCCAUGCCGCGUGAGUG